Molecule: ribosomal RNA, 205 nt
Filed under: uncultured bacterium
Lineage: Bacteria
Description: partial 16S ribosomal RNA
Rfam family: Bacterial small subunit ribosomal RNA
Source: RNAcentral
GAUUGCAGGCUGCAACUCGCCUGCAUGAAGUCGGAAUUGCUAGUAAUCGUAGGUCAGCAUACUACGGUGAAUACGUUCCCGGGCCUUGUACACACCGCCCGUCAAACCAUGAGAGUUGGCAACACCCGAAGUCGGUAGUCUAACCGCAAGGAGGACGCCGCCGAAGGUGGGGUCGAUGAUUAGGGUUAAGUCGUAACAAGGUAUC